Molecule: non-coding RNA, 23 nt
Filed under: Arabidopsis thaliana (thale cress)
Lineage: Eukaryota; Viridiplantae; Streptophyta; Magnoliopsida; Brassicales; Brassicaceae
Source: RNAcentral
GAUAAUGUUCGCUACAACUACCA